This 44-nucleotide non-coding RNA is filed under the name Isoalcanivorax pacificus W11-5. RNAcentral describes it as "Alcanivorax sp. W11-5 Guanidine-II riboswitch aptamer (mini-ykkC)". It matches the Rfam family "Guanidine-II riboswitch aptamer (mini-ykkC)". From Rfam's summary of the family: Simpler in structure and has fewer highly conserved nucleotide positions than the ykkC-yxkD leader. Lineage: Bacteria; Pseudomonadati; Pseudomonadota; Gammaproteobacteria; Oceanospirillales; Alcanivoracaceae. RNAcentral also lists the same sequence under 1 other name. The record is from Rfam by way of RNAcentral.
GCCGGGACGGCCCGGCGUGCCGGAACCACCGCAGGACGACCUGC